RNAcentral lists this ribosomal RNA (519 nucleotides) under uncultured eukaryote. RNAcentral's name for it is "SSU rRNA". It matches the Rfam family "Eukaryotic small subunit ribosomal RNA", at positions 1161 to 1693 of the family's 1831-position model. The record is from RNAcentral.
AGGGCACCACCAGGAGUGGAGCCUGCGGCUUAAUUUGACUCAACACGGGAAAACUUACCCGGCCCGGACACUGGAAGGAUUGACAGAUUGAGAGCUCUUUCUUGAUUCAGUGGGUGGUGGUGCAUGGCCGUUCUUAGUUGGUGGAGCGAUUUGUCUGGUUAAUUCCGAUAACGAACGGGACUCUAGCCUACUAAAUAGACCAGAGGCUUCUUAAAACACGUCUCUGGCUGCUUCUUAGAGGGACAGGCGGCGAUUCAGCCGCACGAAACGGAGCAAUAACAGGUCUGUGAUGCCCUUAGAUGUCCGGGGCCGCACGCGCGCUACACUGAAGUGAUCAGCGUGCUUUUUGUACCCUGCUCUGCCAAGAGUGGGUAACCCAAUGAACCUUCUUCGUGAUUGGGAUAGGGGAUUGUAAUUAUUCCCCUUGAACGAGGAAUUCCCAGUAGGCGCGAGUCAUAAGCUCGCGUUGAUUACGUCCCUGCCCUUUGUACACACCGCCCGUCGCUACUACCGAUUGAA